This 479-nucleotide ribosomal RNA is filed under the name Halomonas sp. RNAcentral's name for it is "bacterial SSU rRNA". It matches the Rfam family "Bacterial small subunit ribosomal RNA", at positions 95 to 576 of the family's 1533-position model. Lineage: Bacteria; Pseudomonadati; Pseudomonadota; Gammaproteobacteria; Oceanospirillales; Halomonadaceae. The record is from RNAcentral.
GCGGCGGACGGGUGAGUAAUGCAUAGGAAUCUGCCCGAUAGUGGGGGAUAACCUGGGGAAACCCAGGCUAAUACCGCAUACGUCCUACGGGAGAAAGGGGGCUUCGGCUCCCGCUAUCGGAUGAGCCUAUGUCGGAUUAGCUGGUUGGUGAGGUAAAGGCUCACCAAGGCGACGAUCCGUAGCUGGUCUGAGAGGAUGAUCAGCCACAUCGGGACUGAGACACGGCCCGAACUCCUACGGGAGGCAGCAGUGGGGAAUAUUGGACAAUGGGGGGAACCCUGAUCCAGCCAUGCCGCGUGUGUGAAGAAGGCCCUCGGGUUGUAAAGCACUUUCAGUGAGGAAGAACGCCUGGUGGUUAAUACCCAUCAGGAAAGACAUCACUCACAGAAGAAGCACCGGCUAACUCCGUGCCAGCAGCCGCGGUAAUACGGAGGGUGCGAGCGUUAAUCGGAAUUACUGGGCGUAAAGCGCGCGUAGGU